Molecule: transfer RNA, 62 nt
Filed under: Perna canaliculus (greenshell mussel)
Lineage: Eukaryota; Metazoa; Mollusca; Bivalvia; Mytilida; Mytilidae
Description: tRNA-Lys
Source: RNAcentral
UUAGCUAAAGCUUUUAAGAAGCGUGAGAUUUUUAAUUUUAAGAUCCCUUUUAGGGUGGCUAG